UCUGUUUCUCAGUGGCGUGGGAACACUUUGUUCUUAUAAUUAAUCAAAAUCAGCCAUUUGUUGACACUGGCAGAACAUUGGCAUGUCCACAAGGCAUGAGCGGUGAGUUUAAGAGUGAGAGGAAGAGCCAUCUGACAAUCAGACAGAGGAGCAUCAAGAGAGCUGAACACAUCUGUGAUGAGGGAAACCUGAAUGGUACAUACUGCUCAGAGAAGAAGAACUACGUGUGCGCCAAGAAGAUGUGAUCAUCACCAGCUGAUGUUUGCGUUCACAUUUUCAAACAACAACUAAUCUGUGCUGCAGUUGGACAAGUCUGUUUCAUGGUAACCACUAUGAACACAAGCUUUUUACUGCAAGUUACUGCAAUAAACGCUUCGGCGUUUAUGUUA
Long non-coding RNA from Micropterus salmoides (largemouth bass), 389 nucleotides. RefSeq lists it as uncharacterized. The transcript has 2 exons. The record is from RefSeq and is a predicted model, not a curated record. Lineage: Eukaryota; Metazoa; Chordata; Actinopteri; Centrarchiformes; Centrarchidae.